Molecule: ribosomal RNA, 450 nt
Filed under: uncultured bacterium
Lineage: Bacteria
Description: partial 16S ribosomal RNA
Rfam family: Bacterial small subunit ribosomal RNA
Source: RNAcentral
CUACGGGUGGCUGCAGUGAGGAAUAUUGGUCAAUGGGCGCAAGCCUGAACCAGCCAUCCCGCGUGAAGGAAGAAGGCGCUAUGCGUUGUAAACUUCUUUUCCAGAGGAAUAAAAUUUCGUACGUGUACGGGACUGAAGGUACUCUGGGAAUAAGCAUCGGCUAACUCCGUGCCAGCAGCCGCGGUAAUACGGAGGAUGCAAGCGUUUAUCGGAUUUAUUGGGUUUAAAGGGUGCAUAGGAGGUCAGUGGAGAAAUCCUGCAGCUUAACUGUAGAAUUGCCAUUGAUACUGUUAUUCUUGAGUAUGGUCAAGGUAGGCGGAAUGUGUAAUGUAGCGGUGAAAUGCUUAGAUAUUACACAGAACACCGAUUGCGAAGGCAGCUUGCUGGGCCAUUACUGACGCUGAUGCACGAAAGCGUGGGGAUCGAACAGGAUUAGAUACCCUGGUAGUC